UUAAGCGACUAAGCGUACACGGUGGAUGCCCUGGCAGUCAGAGGCGAUGAAGGACGUGCUAAUCUGCGAUAAGCGUCGGUAAGGUGAUAUGAACCGUUAUAACCGGCGAUUUCCGAAUGGGGAAACCCAGUGUGAUUCGUCACACUAUCAUUAACUGAAUCCAUAGGUUAAUGAGGCGAACCGGGGGAACUGAAACAUCUAAGUACCCCGAGGAAAAGAAAUCAACCGAGAUUCCCCCAGUAGCGGCGAGCGAACGGGGAGGAGCCCAGAGCCUGAAUCAGUGUGUGUGUUAGUGGAAGCGUCUGGAAAGGCGCGCGAUACAGGGUGACAGCCCCGUACACAAAAAUGCACAUACUGUGAGCUCGAUGAGUAGGGCGGGACACGUGGUAUCCUGUCUGAAUAUGGGGGGACCAUCCUCCAAGGCUAAAUACUCCUGACUGACCGAUAGUGAACCAGUACCGUGAGGGAAAGGCGAAAAGAACCCCGGCGAGGGGAGUGAAAAAGACCUGAAACCGUGUACGUACAAGCAGUGGGAGCACAGAGCAAUCUGUGUGACUGCGUACCUUUUGUAUAAUGGGUCAGCGACUUAUAUUCUGUAGCAAGGUUAACCGAAUAGGGGAGCCGAAGGGAAACCGAGUCUUAACUGGGCGUUAAGUUGCAGGGUAUAGACCCGAAACCCGGUGAUCUAGCCAUGGGCAGGUUGAAGGUUGGGUAACACUAACUGGAGGACCGAACCGACUAAUGUUGAAAAAUUAGCGGAUGACUUGUGGCUGGGGGUGAAAGGCCAAUCAAACCGGGAGAUAGCUGGUUCUCCCCGAAAGCUAUUUAGGUAGCGCCUCGUGAAUUCAUCUCCGGGGGUAGAGCACUGUUUCGGCAAGGGGGUCAUCCCGACUUACCAACCCGAUGCAAACUGCGAAUACCGGAGAAUGUUAUCACGGGAGACACACGGCGGGUGCUAACGUCCGUCGUGAAGAGGGAAACAACCCAGACCGCCAGCUAAGGUCCCAAAGUCAUGGUUAAGUGGGAAACGAUGUGGGAAGGCCCAGACAGCCAGGAUGUUGGCUUAGAAGCAGCCAUCAUUUAAAGAAAGCGUAAUAGCUCACUGGUCGAGUCGGCCUGCGCGGAAGAUGUAACGGGGCUAAACCAUGCACCGAAGCUGCGGCAGCGACACUGUGUGUUGUUGGGUAGGGGAGCGUUCUGUAAGCCUGUGAAGGUGUGCUGUGAGGCAUGCUGGAGGUAUCAGAAGUGCGAAUGCUGACAUAAGUAACGAUAAAGCGGGUGAAAAGCCCGCUCGCCGGAAGACCAAGGGUUCCUGUCCAACGUUAAUCGGGGCAGGGUGAGUCGACCCCUAAGGCGAGGCCGAAAGGCGUAGUCGAUGGGAAACAGGUUAAUAUUCCUGUACUUGGUGUUACUGCGAAGGGGGGACGGAGAAGGCUAUGUUGGCCGGGCGACGGUUGUCCCGGUUUAAGCGUGUAGGCUGGUUUUCCAGGCAAAUCCGGAAAAUCAAGGCUGAGGCGUGAUGACGAGGCACUACGGUGCUGAAGCAACAAAUGCCCUGCUUCCAGGAAAAGCCUCUAAGCAUCAGGUAACAUCAAAUCGUACCCCAAACCGACACAGGUGGUCAGGUAGAGAAUACCAAGGCGCUUGAGAGAACUCGGGUGAAGGAACUAGGCAAAAUGGUGCCGUAACUUCGGGAGAAGGCACGCUGAUAUGUAGGUGAAGUCCCUCGCGGAUGGAGCUGAAAUCAGUCGAAGAUACCAGCUGGCUGCAACUGUUUAUUAAAAACACAGCACUGUGCAAACACGAAAGUGGACGUAUACGGUGUGACGCCUGCCCGGUGCCGGAAGGUUAAUUGAUGGGGUCAGCGCAAGCGAAGCUCUUGAUCGAAGCCCCGGUAAACGGCGGCCGUAACUAUAACGGUCCUAAGGUAGCGAAAUUCCUUGUCGGGUAAGUUCCGACCUGCACGAAUGGCGUAAUGAUGGCCAGGCUGUCUCCACCCGAGACUCAGUGAAAUUGAACUCGCUGUGAAGAUGCAGUGUACCCGCGGCAAGACGGAAAGACCCCGUGAACCUUUACUAUAGCUUGACACUGAACAUUGAGCCUUGAUGUGUAGGAUAGGUGGGAGGCUUUGAAGUGUGGACGCCAGUCUGCAUGGAGCCGACCUUGAAAUACCACCCUUUAAUGUUUGAUGUUCUAACGUGGACCCGUGAUCCGGGUUGCGGACAGUGUCUGGUGGGUAGUUUGACUGGGGCGGUCUCCUCCUAAAGAGUAACGGAGGAGCACGAAGGUUGGCUAAUCCUGGUCGGACAUCAGGAGGUUAGUGCAAUGGCAUAAGCCAGCUUGACUGCGAGCGUGACGGCGCGAGCAGGUGCGAAAGCAGGUCAUAGUGAUCCGGUGGUUCUGAAUGGAAGGGCCAUCGCUCAACGGAUAAAAGGUACUCCGGGGAUAACAGGCUGAUACCGCCCAAGAGUUCAUAUCGACGGCGGUGUUUGGCACCUCGAUGUCGGCUCAUCACAUCCUGGGGCUGAAGUAGGUCCCAAGGGUAUGGCUGUUCGCCAUUUAAAGUGGUACGCGAGCUGGGUUUAGAACGUCGUGAGACAGUUCGGUCCCUAUCUGCCGUGGGCGCUGGAGAACUGAGGGGGGCUGCUCCUAGUACGAGAGGACCGGAGUGGACGCAUCACUGGUGUUCGGGUUGUCAUGCCAAUGGCACUGCCCGGUAGCUAAAUGCGGAAGAGAUAAGUGCUGAAAGCAUCUAAGCACGAAACUUGCCCCGAGAUGAGUUCUCCCUGACCCUUUAAGGGUCCUGAAGGAACGUUGAAGACGACGACGUUGAUAGGCCGGGUGUGUAAGCGCAGCGAUGCGUUGAGCUAACCGGUACUAAUGAACCGUGAGGCUUAACCUU
RNAcentral lists this ribosomal RNA (2902 nucleotides) under Escherichia coli DEC3E. RNAcentral describes it as "bacterial LSU rRNA". It matches the Rfam family "Bacterial large subunit ribosomal RNA". Lineage: Bacteria; Pseudomonadati; Pseudomonadota; Gammaproteobacteria; Enterobacterales; Enterobacteriaceae. The record is from RNAcentral.